UGGGGUAUGGCCAAGCGGCAAGGCACAGGACUUUGACUCCUGUAUUCGGUGGUUCAAAUCCACCUACCCCAGCCA
RNAcentral lists this transfer RNA (75 nucleotides) under Bacteroidaceae bacterium. Its description in RNAcentral is "tRNA-Gln". It matches the Rfam family "tRNA". From Rfam's summary of the family: Transfer RNA (tRNA) molecules are approximately 80 nucleotides in length. Their secondary structure includes four short double-helical elements and three loops (D, anti-codon, and T loops). The record is from RNAcentral. Lineage: Bacteria; Pseudomonadati; Bacteroidota; Bacteroidia; Bacteroidales; Bacteroidaceae.